Molecule: RNA transcript, 3261 nt
Organism: Mugil cephalus (flathead mullet)
Lineage: Eukaryota; Metazoa; Chordata; Actinopteri; Mugiliformes; Mugilidae
Gene name: 5'-AMP-activated protein kinase subunit gamma-1-like
Exons: 16
Source: RefSeq, a predicted model, not a curated record
GGCUACAGACUCCCACACAACACCUGUAAACAGUACUCGUCGCCUGUGGAAGGUGGAGACUCGUUUAGUGAAGCAUGUGUGUGCCCUGCCUCUUUUUAGGGCCGAGCCUACUUCCUGGUGGAUGAGGCAGCUCGUCCGUGUUGUCGUAGUAAGUAAAGGGGGCAGCUGAAGGCGGAGGCGGCUGUUUAUUAAGGUCUACGGCAGUUAGUUAGUCAUAGCACAUUUUGUUAUUUUUUAGAAGCAGAAGAAUUAAAAAAAAAUGGGAAGCACGGUGAUGGAGUCCAGCAAAGAUAGCUCAAAGAAAAUGCCCAAAAAGAAGAGAAGUCUGCGGAUAAACAUGCCAGACUUUGGUGCGUUUACUGCCCCUCAAGUGGAGACGAGUGGCUCAACCAAAAGUGGCACUCAGACGGGAGAGCGACGCAUCCGUUCGGCCAGCCCCACCAAAGGAGUGCCUGCAAAGGGCUCAGCCGGCGUCCCGCUGCCCCCGACUCCCCACUCUGCUCCUGUCCAAUCAAAGGCUGUCUCAGGUUCACCCAAAACCAUCUUCCCCUAUCCCUCACAUCAGAACUCUUCACCCAAGUCCCCCCACCGCCUGAGCUUCAGUGGUAUAUUCCGGUCAUCGUCCAGCUCCACAACUGGAAGCAUCAAAAUCUUUUCCAGAACCAGGAGGGCCUCUGGACGCUCUACGCCACCAUCCACACCCACCCAGGCGUCCAGCCAACCCGUGUUCACCCAGGAAGCCCAGCCGAGCGGCCCCAGCCCCGAGCGCCCGGAGCCCAGCUCUCGCACCCGCUCCCUCUCCACACCCCCAGACACAGGCCAGCGCCUCAGCCUUCCUUCUGCUAAACCCCCGAUCCCUUCAUCGAGCCCUGUGCCACCUUAUUCUACCUCACAACAAGUCUACGGUUUAUUCGAAGGCAUGCUGGAGAAACUUGAACUGGAUGAUGAUGCUGCUGAACCUGAGAGUGAUAUUUACAUGCGCUUUAUGAAAUCCCACAAGUGCUACGACAUUGUUCCCACAAGUUCCAAGUUGGUUGUGUUUGACACGGCGCUCCAAGUUAAGAAAGCGUUCUUCGCCUUGGUAGCCAACGGUGUGCGAGCUGCUCCACUAUGGGACACAGAGAAACAAAGCUUUGUGGGAAUGCUGACAAUCACAGAUUUCAUCAUCAUACUACACAGAUACUAUAAGUCGCCAAUGGUGCAAAUUUAUGAAUUAGAGGAACAUAAGCUUGAGACGUGGAGAGAGGUUUACCUUCAAGCAACAUUCAAACCUCUGGUCAACAUAUCACCAGAUGCAAGCCUGUUUGAUGCAGUGUACACCCUCAUCAAAAACAAAAUCCACCGCUUGCCCGUCAUCGACCCCGUCACAGGGAAUGCACUUUAUAUUCUCACACACAAGAGGAUCCUCAAGUUCCUCCAGCUGUUUAUGUGUGAAAUGCCAAAGCCAGCUUUUAUGAAGCAGACUCUGGGCGAACUGGGCAUCGGGACGUACCACGAAAUUGCUUUCAUCCACCCGGACACACCCAUCAUCAAAGCGCUCAACAUCUUUGUGGAGAGACGAGUUUCUGCUUUACCUGUGGUGGAUGACUCAGGCAAAGUUGUGGAUAUUUACUCCAAGUUUGAUGUGAUUAACUUGGCUGCUGAGAAGACCUACAACAACCUGGACAUUACAGUGACCCAAGCUCUGAAGCAUCGCUCGCAGUACUUUGAAGGAGUCAUGAAGUGCCAUAAAAUGGAAACAAUGGAGACCAUUGUGGACAGAAUAGUGAAAGCUGAAGUGCAUCGGUUGGUGGUGGUAGACGAACGCUCCAGUAUCGAGGGCAUCGUUUCCCUGUCAGACAUCCUCCAGGCUCUGGUGCUGAGCCCUGCAGGUAUAGAUGCUCAGCAUUCCUAAGCCCCAACUCCCCUUCUGUCCUGGACCCUGAGCUCUCUCCCCCCCCACCUGCCCUCUAACCCUGCCCCAGAUGCCUGUAAGGAGGAGAGCCUGACUGAAUGAGAGCGGAGAGCGUCAGCUGAAAUGGAGGUGUGAUGGGAGUAAACAAAUGGAAAGUUUUAGGUAGGGGGGGCGUGAGGCUGAGCGGAGCCGGUCUGAAGGUCCCAGAGCCGCCUGCAACCGACGCACUGUAACGGCCGGGAAUCCAAAGAGCUAAGGCAGCAGAUUGAAGUGGACUUCUGCACUGAGGAUUGAUUUUUCUGAAUUUAUUUCUUGUUUGUUUGAACACUGAUCAGACGCACGCACGUUACACAUUCAUGACAGAGCGAGCAAACACACGAGCAGAUACAUUAUGGUCGCCUUCCAGGGAAAGGUGAGACAUUCGAGACGGGUUCUGAUGAAUUUGGUGUUUUGUGUUGUGUUGUUAAAAUCAUGCUGGAAUCACUGCAUGAUUUAACAUUUUUAUGAAUGUUGUCACCUCCAGGAACGAUGACGAUAAACCGAUGCAACUUACUUGGUUUGAUAGCAAACUUCACUUCACCUCCAAAGAGGCCAUUUUGCGACUAAAGGAAAAUUUGCUGGUGCCAAUAUCAAGCACUCGAUGCCCAAUCUUUAUCUGUACCUGUUUGUUUCCCCUGCCCUCAUGUAAUGAGUGCAAUUAUUAGGCCUUAUAAACAAGUUUGAAGUUGUAAUAGUGAAGUUGGGGGCAAAUUUCUUAAGGUUUUCAUUAGUUUGGGUGCAUUUUUUGGAGUUAAAGUCUAAACCAUAUCAGAAGUCUCAAGACUUUCUGCUAAAUCUGUCUUAUUCUGAACAGAAGUAUCACAUUGUCUCGGCACAAAUACGCAGAAGUAAAUCUAACUACGUUAAUACUGUCAGCAAGAGGAAAAGAGAUCUCUCGCUUUUGCGUCACGAGGGCUUAACAGUCUCCGUGGCGCAAAGGUUUCUGCUGGAUUUAAAACGCUAUUUCAACUGCUCUUUCGUUUAUUUUCAGCGGCUUUCGUGUUUCAGAUAAUCGGUGACUCUAACGUGCAAAGCGGCGCGGUCAUCUCGGCUCUAGCUCGACAGGACUCAUCUCCAUCUUUGACUGUAAAUAGGAUCGUUUUCGGGAAACGUGUCACAGAAAGCUUUAUUUUUACGAAUGUGUUGAAAGAGACUGCAGUUUUCAUGUUAUUUUUGUAAAUAUAGUUCAGAGAAACAUGUCGGAUCAACAUGUACUGUAAAUGUGCAAGCAUGAGAAACUACACUUCAGCAGUAUGAAUGUUCUUUGUUUUACUUUUUUCUAUUUUUCUGGAUGCGGAAAAAUAAACGGACACUGAAUGUACUUUAAA